UCCAAAGAAUGAAAGAAUGAUUGUGUCAGGAUCAGGGUGAAAGCGGCAAUUGCCAAUCCAAGAACCAGCAACUCUGAAGAGAACUUGCAGGACAGCUAGUCUUGCAGUCUUGAGUUGUAGGAGCUUUGCCCAUGUUUCCACCUAUGAUGAGGACAGCCCUGCAAAAUCAGCAUGAUAACUUAAAUCUGCAAAAAGGACAAAGAUAAACAGUCUUGUUUGACCAUCUCAGUUCCUUCACAAUGAUGCACUGCAUAAGUCUCUGAAGUCCAAAGAAUGAAAGAAUGAUUGUGUCAGGAUCAGGGUGAAAGCGGCAAUUGCCAAUCCAAGAACCAGCAACUCUGAAGAGAACUUGCAGGACAGCUAGUCUUGCAGUCUUGAGUUGUAGGAGCUUUGCCCAUGUUUCCACCUAUGAUGAGGACAGCCCUGCAAAAUCAGCAUGAUAACUUAAAUCUGCAAAAAGGACAAAGAUAAACAGCCUUGCUCCAAGUGCUGUUUGACCAUCUCAGUUCCUUCACAAUGAUGCACUGCAUGAGUCUCUGAAGUCCAAAGAAUAAAAGAAAGAUUGUGUCAGGAUCAGGGUGAAAGGGGAAAUUGACAA
Molecule: long non-coding RNA, 598 nt
Organism: Acipenser ruthenus (sterlet)
Lineage: Eukaryota; Metazoa; Chordata; Actinopteri; Acipenseriformes; Acipenseridae
Exons: 5
Source: RefSeq, a predicted model, not a curated record